ACUAAGAGUGACGUCAUAAAGCUUCCAUUGCUGGACGCCAAGCCUCCGGGGACUUUGGGUCAGACAUUUAUCCAAACCAUAUCAAUGUCUAUGGUCCGGUGUUGUCUAUUUCAGGUUGAGUCAGAUGUUGACAGAGUAUGAAGGCCCAUCAGGGCCAUAGAGCAGUAGAGUAGCCUUUGAGUCGGCCUCUUAGUGUGAUUCAGGUAUGGGGUAUAACCAGAACAUUUAGUCUGACUGCUGCACACGGCCUGUCUGAUAACCCCAUCCUGUCCAGCAUGGUGUCUGCACGCUGAACAUUCUUAGCAGAUGGUGGGCUCUAUGCUCAUUACUCUUAAUACGAUUUAUUACCACUGAAGGGACUCGAGGAUAAAAGGAAAACCUGCCAAUAGUGUCACUGGGGCAACAAGCCAGCAGAGCUAUUCUUGGAAAUGUGGAGCUUCGGGCAUGGGACCUUUGAGCAUGAAGCAGCAAAUGGCAAAUACAGUGCAGAUUCCCCUAGGCAGCGUGGUGCUUAGGCUCAUCCUUUACACACCAUGAUGAUGUAAUCCCACCAGCUCCGCUCGGACGCACUUCCUCCUGGAAGAACGUUUACCAGAGUCAGUCUAUGCUAAGUCUGUCACGAUCUAAUUCAGAUGAUGUUCUGCUGCGUGCGUAACUGGAACAUCCCAAGGGAAGGGUCUACGUGAUUUAAUUUUGUACUAUAGCAUCCAGCACACUUCCCGGUUUUAUGAUGUAUGUUUGUAUCAGAUAGAGUAGGCUGGGUUUUUGCCGCAGUACAAAGAUGUGCUUUCAGAUUUUGGCAGCUUAUUUUAACCAAGGGUUACUUUCUUGCCCAUGUCAUUUGUUCUCUGUUGGUCCUGAUGUUGUUUGUCCUCUGUUGGUCGGCAUAGGGAGGAGUUCACUGACUCCUCAUCUGAGACCUAGGGUGUAGGGCAAGUUUUGAACGGAAUGUUGAAAUCCUCUUGAUAGAGCCACAGUAUGGAGCCCCAGGCUGCCUCUCAAAGCUCCUCAGAACAAUUACUUCCACUUAUACCUCAUGACAAACCAAACCACGCAGUCAAGCUGACCUCCUGAGAAGAAGGGAAAUACCAUUCUCCCUCACGGAAGAAGAGAAAAGGUUUUUGAACAAGAAUACAAUCUUCUACAGUGCCCAGGUCAAGGUUGGUUCUGAGCAGGCGGAGACAGAGACAUGAGCUCUAUCACAGCCCGUAGGGAAGUGUGUUCGGGCCCUCGCUGAGAGACUACCGUAGUUCCCCCUGCCCCUGGAGCUAUGAUGAAGUAUUUUGAUAAAAGUCACUUAAGAGGUGGAACUGCAUAGGAUGCAUCCUUCUGAUGGCUUCUUUCGCUUGGCAACGUGUUCAGUUUCCCCUGUGUCUUCUCCUAGAUCGAACAUUCAUUUUGCUUGCUGAGUAACACCUGGGUGCAGGUACUGAAUUCCAGGUCAAGGGUUCUGCUGAAGUGGAAUUAAAAUAAAAUGUGGCUUACACAGUGUGCUGCAGGAGAUGGACUAAACACACCACGGUCCUCACAAGUGAAAGUUUAGUGAAUGACCUGCCACACGGUCUCUCAUGAAAUAUCUGGGUAGAGUUUUCUCUUAUAGGGUACCUUUUUUUUCCAUUUUGGGGAGUUUCCCCAUUGUCACAGAAAAUCCCAUUCGAGGGGUUUCGCUAAAUGUUGGACUCUAUUAGUGAAGAGAGAUCUUCCUGUUGAAACACAGGACUGGAUUUUUGAGUGGAGCAAGAGUGUCCCCUUCACAGAACAUGUUCACGAAUCAAAGCCCUGUAGGAGGAACUGGCAUUUCUUGCUAUCGCAUCGACUCCAGUGGCUGAGUCUUUGGCCUGAAAGGAUCCCUCCAUGCUAAAUGAAGAAGACCUGAUAGAGGAGAGCAAAGAAGAGAAGUGGGAAAUGGAGAGAAUUCAAAGAGCCAGUUCAGAGACUGCCGAGAGGAGAGAUCCAGCUGACUCUGGUUUUCUGUUGUUGAGAAAUAGUCACUGUCCCACAGAAGCUGCCACAGGUGUAACAAUGUGGAGAGAACUCUGUGUGUGUGUUAAUGUAUGUAUUUAUGUGCAUGGGUGUGAUGUGUGUUUGUGUUGUGUGUAUAUGUGUGUGAUGUAUGUGUUUGUGAUAUGUGUGUGUGUGAUGUGUGUGUUUGUGUGAUGUGUGUGUUAAUGUGUGUUUAUGUGUAAGUGUGUGAUGUGUGUGUGAUGUGUGUGGUGUGUGUAGGUGUGUGUGAUCUGUGUGUUUGUGUGAUGUGUGUGUUAAUGUGUGUUUAUGUGUAUGUGUGUGAUGUGUGUGGUGUGUGUAGGUGUGUGUGAUGUGUGUGUGUGUGUGUGUGUGUGCAUGUGUGAAUGUUGUGGAGGUAGUUUUGACUGUCUAAGGACAAAGGAUUCAAGGUUGGGCAUCCUCAUAUGGACUGGUCAGCAUGGAGAGGUCUCACAGAUAACUGGCUGAAUAUCUAGACCCGAAGGUCAGGCUCUUGUACUCCAUAGGGGCUCCACGAUCUAGGUAUUUUGUUCUUUAAAAACAGUGCAAGUUCUCAGAAGUUCAGUACAACGGGGUUUUACUUUCUGAGAAAUCUGUUCUCCUAGAUACUUUUAAGUUUUCAUUUUACUUUUUAAGUUUUAGGGAUGAAAUAAAAGUCUGUUUCCAGUUUCGU
Molecule: non-coding RNA, 2656 nt
Organism: Rattus norvegicus (Norway rat)
Lineage: Eukaryota; Metazoa; Chordata; Mammalia; Rodentia; Muridae
Source: RefSeq, a predicted model, not a curated record